UUUAUUAUGACAGAAUAGUGUAUUAAUUUUAGAAAUUAAAUAAAUAUAAUUAAA
RNAcentral lists this transfer RNA (54 nucleotides) under Parnips nigripes. RNAcentral describes it as "tRNA-Leu". The record is from RNAcentral. Lineage: Eukaryota; Metazoa; Arthropoda; Insecta; Hymenoptera; Figitidae.